Pan paniscus (pygmy chimpanzee) is the source of this 1174-nucleotide long non-coding RNA. The record is from Ensembl. Lineage: Eukaryota; Metazoa; Chordata; Mammalia; Primates; Hominidae.
UUUUCAAUUUUAAAAUGAGUUAUUUUGUUUUAAAAGCUACUAAUUGGCUGUAACCAGUAGAAAUAUUUUCCUACUGUUACAAAUAAAAUAACGAAAUUAAUGAGGCCUUUUGGGUUUUCUCUCCCGUUUAAACUCUCCACUCAAAGGAAAAUAGCAUCAUUUUAUUUUCUCAAUAUAAAAGUAAUGCGUUACUGAUUUAAAAACAAAUGAGCAGAAAAGUUUAAAUAAGACACUCCCACGAUCUAUCUCCUUUUCUAACAUCUUGCUCCACAUUUUACAGGGGUGCAGAAGAAAUUGGACAUUCAUGACUUGUGAUGAGGGGAGGUAUAGAGAGAGACAGUUGGACUGGGACUAGAGAAGAUAAAAAAUUAUUCCUCGAAGAGGAAGAAAAGGCCAACGGACACGGGAGCAGAUACAGCCUCUCCCUGUAAACCAAAGAAAGGCAAAUUCACCACAAAGAGAAGCUACUUCUAGUCUCCGGGGUUGGCAAAGAGGAAAAUGAGUGGCAGGACCUGAUGUGUCAGGGAAGGAAGGGGAGGGCCGGCUUCUGCGGCGCUGCUGAUGGGAGUGGUAAUUGGGGUCCUGAUCUCAUGGUUGACGUGGCCCUCACGUGAGCUGGAGCCGACGCGUGCAGACGUCCUUCUAAUCCUAGUCUUCGUUUGGUCCGGUUGCACUCUUCCUAUCGCCCAGAGGGCGAGAGGGCCUGUGGCCUGGGGGAAGGAGGACGAGGUUCUGCCUGGAUCCCAGCAGGACGCUGUGCCAUUUGGGAACAAAGGAAUAGUCUGCCUGGAAUCCUUGCAGAUCUUGGGGCCGGAGGCCAGUCCAACCCUUGGAGCAGGAAGAAACGCAAAGUUGUCAAGAACCAAGGUCCUUGGUGUUGGUCCGUCGACCAAGCACUCACUUCUGAAGUUUGUCAGUCUUGAAGGUUUAGUGGAAGCGGAAACCGAGGUGAGAGAGGUAAGAAAUUGCUCCGGAGCAGAGGUAGUUGGUAUAAUGACACGGGGUGGGGGGGUGGGGGGCGGCGGUGUCCUGGUACCUUUGAGAUGGAGGAGUUGGCGGAGGCAAGGGCGGAGUUGGAGACCUUUAGGCAUUUCACGCCAGUACGGCUUUUAGAUAUUCUCACUUCAUUUUGUUACAAGGAAAAUGUUAACGAUGAAAAUGUGUGGCGACAUCU